This 775-nucleotide unclassified non-coding RNA is filed under the name Hevea brasiliensis (rubber tree). Lineage: Eukaryota; Viridiplantae; Streptophyta; Magnoliopsida; Malpighiales; Euphorbiaceae. The record is from RNAcentral.
AGUUGACAAAGAAUAUAACUUUCUACAUGUGGUUGAAUUGAAAAUCAUACUGCAACAGAAUGCUUCUUGACAAUAUCCUUUAGUAAAACCACUUUCACACUUGGCCAAUAUGUUUGUUGCUCCAAUAUGUUUGUUACUGCUGUUCCCCUUGGACUAAGGCCCAGGAGCUACACUCUUGUGGAUCCAUAAAUUCAUUGGAAGCUGAAAUAUGAACAGUAAACGAUUUGCACAACAGAAGAAAGCAUCCACUGCCAAUGAUCUCCGUGGUAUUAUUACCGCAAGUCAUUUGCAAGACUGAGGAAUGGGGUUUCCAACAAUCUCCAGUUUGAGUUUCAAUUAUAUAUCUGUAUAUAUAUAUAUUGAAAGAAGGUAUCCACUACGUGCUACGGCAAGUUGCUUUGGGCUUGUACUAGGACAAUUUGGUGUAAAGUCUAAUCAAGGGGAAGAAAAGCAAUAUACAGAAUACAGGGGGGAGGAGAUAAGCUCCCUAAAUGUUGUCGGCAGAUACUCUUCGUCUUCGAGUGCUAUCUUCCCUUAGAAGAGAGAUCUUGACAAUUUAGGUGAAACUCAAUUUUUUAUGCAUUUGAACGUCAGAUCUUGACAUUUUGAAAUGCCUAUGUUAUUAUAGAUUUGACCAUUAACAACAAAGAGGCAUACAAACCCAGAACUCUCCAAACGAUAGUUAGACCAUGACAUGACAUCUUUGGGGGAGAAAAAUAGAGAACAAGAACAUAUGAUAGAGCGAACUUUAUUCUUCUUGUAGAGAGAGGAACAA